GAUGAACGCUAGCGGCAGGCUUAAUACAUGCAAGUCGUGGGGCAGCAGGUUUGUAGCAAUACAGAUGCUGGCGACCGGCAAACGGGUGCGGAACACGUACAGAACCUUCCUUUGAGCGGGGAAUAGCCCAGAGAAAUUUGGAUUAAUACCCCAUAGUAUAAUGAAGUGGCAUCACUUUAUUAUUAAAGAUUUAUCACUCGAAGAUGGCUGUGCGGCUGAUUGGGUAGUUGGCGGGGUAAAGGCCCACCAAGCCUGCGAUCAGUAACUGGUGUGAGAGCACGACCAGUCACACGGGCACUGAGACACGGGCCCGACUCCUACGGGAGGCAGCAGUAAGGAUAUUGGUCAAUGGAGGCAACUCUGAACCAGCCAUGCCGCGUGGAGGAUGAAGGUCCUCUGGAUUGUAAACUUCUUUUAUAUGGGACGAAAAAAGGCUUUUCUAAGUCGUCUGACGGUACCAUAUGAAUAAGCACCGGCUAACUCCGUGCCAG
This 491-nucleotide ribosomal RNA is filed under the name uncultured bacterium. Its description in RNAcentral is "bacterial SSU rRNA". It matches the Rfam family "Bacterial small subunit ribosomal RNA", at positions 28 to 511 of the family's 1533-position model. The record is from RNAcentral.